AUGUAUGUGAUGCGGGUUCAUGUGUUUGCACAUGAACCAUUUGAUGCUAUUGUUCUAUGUGAUGUUUGCUGUUUUUCAGAAAACAGGAUGAGAGGAACUCGUCGAUCUGCACGAUUGACUGGAGUACCACCCCAGGAUGAGGGCACUGAUGCCCGUCCUCCUGCAUUGCCUAGAGCAAUGUCAAGUAGGUCCAGCAGAGAAAGAGCAGUAAGAGACCCU
Molecule: long non-coding RNA, 219 nt
Filed under: Manihot esculenta (cassava)
Lineage: Eukaryota; Viridiplantae; Streptophyta; Magnoliopsida; Malpighiales; Euphorbiaceae
Description: long non-coding RNA (MESC_LNC007404)
Source: RNAcentral